CUAAACCUAAAGGCGCAAUGAAAGUGAAGGUCCCGCCUUGUGCGGACCGAGGGAAGAUGGGGCGUGCUCCUGCACGACUCCCGCAUUCCCGGGGCGUCUCGUUCUCAUUGCGAGUUGAGGCGCACCCAGAGCGUACACGUUGGGACCCGAAAGAUGGUGAACUAUGCCUGGCCAGGACGAAGUCAGGGGAAACCCUGAUGGAGGUCCGUAGCGAUUCUGACGUGCAAAUCGAUCGUCGGAGCUGGGUAUAGGGGCGAAAGACUAAUCGAACCAUCUAGUAGCUGGUUCCCUCCGAAGUUUCCCUCAGGAUAGCUGGUGCUCGAACGAGUCUCAUCCGGUCAAGCGAAUGAUUAGAGGCCUUGGGGCCGAAACGACCUCAACCUAUUCUCAAACUUUAAAUGGGUGAGAUCUCCGGCUUGCUUAAAGCAAUGAAGCCGCGAGACCUUUUUGGAUCGGAGUGCCAAGUGGGCCACUUUUGGUAAGCAGAACUGGCGCUGUGGGAUGAACCAAACGCAGAGUUAAGGCGCCCGAAUAGACGCUCAUGGGAAACCAUGAAAGGCGUUGGUUGCUUAAGACAGCAGGACGGUGGCCAUGGAAGUCGGAAUCCGCUAAGGAGUGUGUAACAACUCACCUGCCGAAGCAACUAGCCCUGAAAAUGGAUGGCGCUGAAGCGUCUUGCCUAUACUCUGCCGUCAGCACGGCAAUGAGGGGUGCGCGGUUCGCUUCGGCGGGCCCGCCCCGUGAGGCCCUGACGAGUAGGAGGGUCGCGGCGGUGAGCGCAGAAGGGUCUAGGCGUGAGCCUGCCUGGAGCCGCCGUCGGUGCAGAUCUUGGUGGUAGUAGCAAAUACUCCAGCGAGGCCCUGGAGGACUGACGUGGAGAAGGGUUUCGUGUGAACAGCCGUUGCACACGAGUCAGUCGAUCCUAAGCCCUAGGAGAAAUCCGAUGUCGAUGGGGUCCGAGACUGUGAGUUAGGACCCCAUGGGGCGAAAGGGAAUCCGGUUCCUAUUCCGGAACCCGGCAGCGGAACCGUAAUAAGUCGGGCCCCUCGCAAGAGAAGCUCGUCGGGGUAACCCAAAAGGACCCGGAGACGCCGUCGGGAGAUCGGGGAAGAGUUUUCUUUUCUGCAUGAGCGUUCGAGUUCCCUGGAAUCCUCUAGCAGGGAGAUAGGGUUUGGAACGCGAAGAGCACCGCAGUUGCGGCGGUGUCCCGAUCUUCCCCUCGGACCUUG
This 1229-nucleotide ribosomal RNA is filed under the name Rectimarginalis ensis. RNAcentral's name for it is "eukaryotic LSU rRNA". It matches the Rfam family "Eukaryotic large subunit ribosomal RNA", at positions 702 to 1807 of the family's 3401-position model. Lineage: Eukaryota; Metazoa; Arthropoda; Insecta; Orthoptera; Tettigoniidae. The record is from RNAcentral.